UACGUAGGGCGCGAGCGUUGUCCGGAAUUAUUGGGCGUAAAGAGCUCGUAGGCGGCCUGUUGCGUCCGCUGUGAAAACCCGAGGCUUAACCUCGGGCCUGCAGUCGAUACGGGCAGACUAGAGUUCGGUAGGGGAGACUGGAAUUCCUGGUGUAGCGGUGAAAUGCGCAGAUAUCAGGAGGAACACCGAUGGCGAAGGCAGGUCUCUGGGCAUUAACUGACGCUGAGGAGCGAAAGCAUGGGGAGCGAACAGG
RNAcentral lists this ribosomal RNA (253 nucleotides) under uncultured bacterium. Its description in RNAcentral is "partial 16S ribosomal RNA". It matches the Rfam family "Bacterial small subunit ribosomal RNA", at positions 524 to 776 of the family's 1533-position model. The record is from RNAcentral.